Small nuclear RNA from Nycticebus coucang (slow loris), 107 nucleotides. NCBI's taxonomy places the organism in Eukaryota, Metazoa, Chordata, Mammalia, Primates, Lorisidae. The record is from RefSeq and is a predicted model, not a curated record.
GUGCUUACCUCAGCAACACACACACUAAAAUUGGAAUGAUACAGAGAAGAUGAUCACGGCCCCCAUGCAAGGAUGACACGCAAAUUCGUGAAGUGUUCCAUAUUUAC